GGUGAAACGGGAUCAGCUGGGGAGCCUGGUGCGGAAGGGAAACCUGGAAUAAAUGGUUUGAAAGGAGACUCAGGUCCUAUUGGCCCCAAAGGUGAUCAAGGCGAUACGGGUCUUCAAGGUCUGCCUGGUCUCAGUGU
This is a long non-coding RNA of Salvelinus namaycush (lake trout), 137 nucleotides long. RefSeq lists it as uncharacterized. The record is from RefSeq and is a predicted model, not a curated record. Lineage: Eukaryota; Metazoa; Chordata; Actinopteri; Salmoniformes; Salmonidae. The transcript is spliced from 3 exons.